RNAcentral lists this transfer RNA (87 nucleotides) under mine drainage metagenome. RNAcentral's name for it is "tRNA-Ser". It matches the Rfam family "tRNA". From Rfam's summary of the family: Transfer RNA (tRNA) molecules are approximately 80 nucleotides in length. Their secondary structure includes four short double-helical elements and three loops (D, anti-codon, and T loops). The record is from RNAcentral.
GGGAUGGCAGAGCGGUCGAUUGCGGCGGUCUUGAAAACCGCUAAUGCUGCAAGGCAUUCCGGGGUUCGAAUCCCCGUCCCUCCGCCA